Drosophila montana is the source of this 376-nucleotide long non-coding RNA. RefSeq lists it as uncharacterized. Lineage: Eukaryota; Metazoa; Arthropoda; Insecta; Diptera; Drosophilidae. The record is from RefSeq and is a predicted model, not a curated record. The transcript has 2 exons.
AAACGUACACAAAAGCCCAUAGGUAGGCUUAGACAAUUUGGGUCAAAGUUAUGGCACGAAAAUCAAGAUAUGAAAUUAAAAUUGCACCAAAAUUGAGCGCUGAAAGAACAAGAAGAAGAAAAGCAAAAUGCUUAAAGCAAGCUAUCAAUUCUAGAUGGCCCCGAAAAUAAAUAGCUUUAACUUGUGACGUCUGCUCGUGAUGACAGGCGCUUCCGAGGGGAAUUCAUUGAAUGGGCAACCAAUAAAAUGGCAAUUGAACGUCUGGGAAUCAACAUGAAUUUACCUUGUAGACUAUAUUUACGGCGCGCGCUCUUUGAUGAGAGUUCUAUAAAUAUGUGACAUAAUGUGCGGUGCGUUGACAUUUGGCUAAAAAUAA